RNAcentral lists this ribosomal RNA (408 nucleotides) under uncultured bacterium. RNAcentral describes it as "partial 16S ribosomal RNA". It matches the Rfam family "Bacterial small subunit ribosomal RNA", at positions 28 to 526 of the family's 1533-position model. The record is from RNAcentral.
GACGAACGCUGGCGGCGUGCUUAACACAUGCAAGUCGAACGAAGUGGCGAACGGGUGAGUAACGCGUAAUCAACCUGCCCUUCAGAGGGGGACAACAGUUGGAAACGACUGCUAAUACCGCAUACUGCAGGGGGGGGUUGCGUCUGAUUGGCAGGUUGGGGGGGUAACGGCCCACCAAGGCGAUGAUCAGUAGCCGGUUUGAGAGUAUGAACGGCCACACUGGGACUGGGACACGGCCCAGACUCCUACGGGAGGCAGCAGUGGGGAAUCUUCCGCAAUGGACGAAAGUCUGACGGAGCAACGCCGCGUGAGUGAUGACGGCCUUCGGGUUGUAAAGCUCUGUUAAUCGGGACGCGGUACCGGAAUAGAAAGCCACGGCUAACUACGUGCCAGCAGCCGCGGUAAUAC